GAUGAACGCUGGCGGCGUGCCUAAUACAUGCAAGUCGAGCGCACGGACUAGACGCUUGCUUUUCUGAUGUUAGUGGCGGACGGGUGAGUAACACGUUGAUUACCUCCCUAUAAGACUGGGCUCACUUCUGGAAUCCGGACCUAAUAUCGGAUCUUAUUUUGAACCGCAUGUUUCACAACUUAAAGCCGGUCUUGCUGUCACUUCUAGAUGGAUCCGCGCUGCAUUAGCUAGUUGGUAAGGUAAUGGCUUACCAAGGCAACGAUGCAUAGCCGACCUGAGAGGGUGAUCGGCCACACUGGAACUGAGACACGGUCCAGACUCCUACGGGAGGCAGCAGUAGGGAAUCUUCCGCAAUGGGCGAAAGCCUGACGGAGCAACGCCGCGUGAGUGAUGAAGGUCUUCGGAUCGUAAAGCUCUGUUAUUAGGGAAGAACAUAUGUGGAAGGAAAUGGGCACAUCUUGACGGUACCUAAUCAGAAAGCCACGGCUAACUACGUG
This 497-nucleotide ribosomal RNA is filed under the name uncultured bacterium. RNAcentral describes it as "partial 16S ribosomal RNA". It matches the Rfam family "Bacterial small subunit ribosomal RNA", at positions 28 to 507 of the family's 1533-position model. The record is from RNAcentral.